RNAcentral lists this ribosomal RNA (479 nucleotides) under uncultured bacterium. Its description in RNAcentral is "partial 16S ribosomal RNA". It matches the Rfam family "Bacterial small subunit ribosomal RNA", at positions 28 to 507 of the family's 1533-position model. The record is from RNAcentral.
GAUGAACGCUAGCGGGAGGCCUAACACAUGCAAGCCGAGCGGUAUUUGUCCUUCGGGUCCGCGAGUGCGGCGUACGGGUGCGGAACACGCGUGCAACCUGCCUUUAUCUGGGGGAAAGCCUUUCGAAAGGAAGAUUAAUACCCCAUAAUAUAUCGAAUGGCAUCAUUCGGUAUUGUAAACUCCGGUGGAUAGAGAUGAGCACUGGCAAGAUUAGAUAGUUGGUGGGGUAAAGGCUCACCAAGGCAGUGAUCCUUAGGUGGCCUGAGAGGGUGAUCCCCCACACUGGUAAUAGGGCACGGACCAGACUCCUACGCGAGGGAGCAGAGAGGAAUAUUAGGCAGUGGGUGCGAGUCUGGUCCAGCCAUCCCGCGUGAAAGACUAAGGCCCUAUGAGAUGUAUACUUGUUUUAUGGUGGGAUAAACCUACUAACGUGUAAGUAGCUGACGGUACCGUAUGAAUAAGCACCGGCUAACUCCGUG